This 561-nucleotide ribosomal RNA is filed under the name uncultured bacterium. Its description in RNAcentral is "partial 16S ribosomal RNA". It matches the Rfam family "Bacterial small subunit ribosomal RNA", at positions 355 to 1375 of the family's 1533-position model. The record is from RNAcentral.
UGGGGAAUAUUGGACAAUGGGCGCAAGCCUGAUCCAGCCAUGCCGCGUGAGUGAUGAAGGCCUUAGGGUUGUAAAGCUCUUUCGGCGGGGACGAUAAUGACGGUACCCGCAGAAGAAGCCCCGGCUAACUUCGUGCCAGCAGCCGCGGUAAUACGAAGGGGGCUAGCGUUGCUCGGAAUCACUGGGCGUAAAGGGCGCGUAGGCGGACAUUUAAGUCGGGGGUGAAAGCCCAGGGCUCAACCCUGGAAUUGCCUCCGAUACUGGGUGUCUCGAGACCGGAAGAGGUGAGUGGAACUGCGAGUGUAGAGGUGAAAUUCGUAGAUAUUCGCAAGAACACCAGUGGCGAAGGCGGCUCACUGGUCCGGUUCUGACGCUGAGGCGCGAAAAGCGUGGGGAGCAAACAGGAUUAGAUACCCUGGUAGUCCACGCCGUAAACGAUGGAUGCUAGCCGUUGGCAGGCUUGCCUGUCAGUGGCGCAGCUAACGCUUUAAGCAUCCCGCCUGGGGAGUACGGCCGCAAGGUUAAAACUCAAAGGAAUUGACGGGGUCAUAGCUGUUUCCU